This 376-nucleotide ribosomal RNA is filed under the name uncultured bacterium. RNAcentral's name for it is "bacterial SSU rRNA". It matches the Rfam family "Bacterial small subunit ribosomal RNA", at positions 524 to 898 of the family's 1533-position model. The record is from RNAcentral.
UACGUAGGGGGCAAGCGUUGUCCGGAAUCAUUGGGCGUAAAGCGCGUGUAGGCGGCUUGGUAAGUCUGGUGUGAAAACUUGGGGCUUAACCCCAAGCCUGCACUGGAUACUGCCUGGCUAGAGUCCGGGAGGGGAGAGCGGAAUUCCCAGUGUAGCGGUGAAAUGCGCAGAUAUUGGGAAGAACACCGGUGGCGAAGGCGGCUCUCUGGAACGGUACUGACGCUGAGACGCGAAAGCGUGGGGAGCGAACAGGAUUAGAUACCCUGGUAGUCCACGCCGUAAACGAUGGGCACUAGAUGUGGGCGGUGUCGACUCCGUCCGUGUCGAAGCUAACGCAUUAAGUGCCCCGCCUGGGGAGUACGGCCGCAAGGCUAAA